UUCCGCGUGCGCGAUGACGGUCUUCGGAUUGUAAAGCGCUUUAGGUGGGGAAAACGAUGAUGGUACCCACAAAAUAAGUCACGGCUAACUUCGUGC
This 96-nucleotide ribosomal RNA is filed under the name uncultured bacterium. RNAcentral describes it as "partial 16S ribosomal RNA". It matches the Rfam family "Bacterial small subunit ribosomal RNA", at positions 395 to 508 of the family's 1533-position model. The record is from RNAcentral.